CCUACGGGUGGCUGCAGUGGGGAAUAUUGGACAAUGGGCGAAAGCCUGAUCCAGCCAUGCCGCGUGUGUGAAGAAGGCCUUCGGGUUGUAAAGCACUUUCAGUGGGGAAGAAAGCCUUGGGGCUAAUACCCUCGAGGAAGGACAUCACCCACAGAAGAAGCACCGGCUAACUCCGUGCCAGCAGCCGCGGUAAUACGGAGGGUGCGAGCGUUAAUCGGAAUUACUGGGCGUAAAGCGCGCGUAGGCGGUCUGAUAAGCCGGUUGUGAAAGCCCCGGGCUCAACCUGGGAACGGCAUCCGGAACUGGCAGGCUAGAGUGCAGGAGAGGAGGGUAGAAUUCCCGGUGUAGCGGUGAAAUGCGUAGAGAUCGGGAGGAAUACCAGUGGCGAAGGCGGCCUUCUGGACUGACACUGACGCUGAGGUGCGAAAGCGUGGGUAGCAAACAGGAUUAGAUACCCGGGUAGUC
Molecule: ribosomal RNA, 465 nt
Filed under: Vreelandella stevensii
Lineage: Bacteria; Pseudomonadati; Pseudomonadota; Gammaproteobacteria; Oceanospirillales; Halomonadaceae
Description: partial 16S ribosomal RNA
Rfam family: Bacterial small subunit ribosomal RNA
Source: RNAcentral